RNAcentral lists this ribosomal RNA (253 nucleotides) under uncultured bacterium. Its description in RNAcentral is "partial 16S ribosomal RNA". It matches the Rfam family "Bacterial small subunit ribosomal RNA", at positions 524 to 776 of the family's 1533-position model. The record is from RNAcentral.
UACGUAGGUGGCAAGCGUUGUCCGGAAUUAUUGGGCGUAAAGCGCGCGCAGGCGGUCCUUUAAGUCUGAUGUGAAAGCCCACGGCUCAACCGUGGAGGGUCAUUGGAAACUGAGGGACUUGAGUGCAGGAGAGAAGAGUGGAAUUCCACGUGUAGCGGUGAAAUGCGUAGAGAUGUGGAGGAACACCAGUGGCGAAGGCGACUCUUUGGCCUGUAACUGACGCUGAGGCGCGAAAUCGUGGGGAGCAAACAGG